AACGAACGCUGGCGGCAUGCCUAACACAUGCAAGUCGAACGAGACCUUCGGGUCUAGUGGCGCACGGGUGCGUAACGCGUGGGAACCUGCCCUUAGGUUCGGAAUAACUCCCCGAAAGGGGUGCUAAUACCGGAUAAUGUCUUCGGACCAAAGAUUUAUCGCCUUUGGAUGGGCCCGCGUUGGAUUAGCUAGUUGGUAGGGUAAAAGCCUACCAAGGCGACGAUCCAUAGCUGGUCUGAGAGGAUGAUCAGCCACACUGGGACUGAGGCACGGCCCAGACUCCUACGGGAGGGAGCAGUGGGGGAUAUUGGAAAAUGGGCGAAAGCCUGAUCCAACAAUGCCGGGGGGGUGAUGAAGGCCUUAGGGUUGUAAAGCUCUUUUACCCGGGAUGAUAAUGACAGUACCGGGAGAAUAAGCUCCGGCUAACUCCGUG
This 433-nucleotide ribosomal RNA is filed under the name uncultured bacterium. RNAcentral describes it as "partial 16S ribosomal RNA". It matches the Rfam family "Bacterial small subunit ribosomal RNA", at positions 29 to 507 of the family's 1533-position model. The record is from RNAcentral.